This 468-nucleotide ribosomal RNA is filed under the name uncultured bacterium. RNAcentral's name for it is "partial 16S ribosomal RNA". It matches the Rfam family "Bacterial small subunit ribosomal RNA", at positions 28 to 507 of the family's 1533-position model. The record is from RNAcentral.
GACGAACGCUGGCGGCGUGCUUAACACAUGCAAGUCGAACGGAAAGGCCCUGCUUUUGUGGGGUGCUCGAGUGGCGAACGGGUGAGUAACACGUGAGUAACCUGCCCUUGACUUUGGGAUAACUUCAGGAAACUGGGGCUAAUACCGGAUAGGAGCUCCUGCUGCAUGGUGGGGGUUGGAAAGUUUCGGCGGUUGGGGAUGGACUCGCGGCUUAUCAGCUUGUUGGUGGGGUAGUGGCUUACCAAGGCUUUGACGGGUAGCCGGCCUGAGAGGGUGACCGGCCACAUUGGGACUGAGAUACGGCCCAGACUCCUACGGGAGGCAGCAGUGGGGAAUAUUGCACACUGGGCGGAAGCCUGAUGCAGCAACGCCGCGUGCGGGAUGACGGCCUUCGGGUUGUAAACCGCUUUCGCCUGUGACGAAGCGUGAGUGACGAUAAUGGGUAAAGAAGCACCGGCUAACUACGUG